This 496-nucleotide ribosomal RNA is filed under the name Bacillus cereus. RNAcentral describes it as "bacterial SSU rRNA". It matches the Rfam family "Bacterial small subunit ribosomal RNA", at positions 37 to 513 of the family's 1533-position model. The record is from RNAcentral. Lineage: Bacteria; Bacillati; Bacillota; Bacilli; Caryophanales; Bacillaceae.
UGGCGGCGUGCCUAAUACAUGCAAGUCGAGCGAAUGGAUUAAGAGCUUGCUCUUAUGAAGUUAGCGGCGGACGGGUGAGUAACACGUGGGUAACCUGCCCAUAAGACUGGGAUAACUCCGGGAAACCGGGGCUAAUACCGGAUAAUAUUUUGAACCGCAUGGUUCGAAAUUGAAAGGCGGCUUCGGCUGUCACUUAUGGAUGGACCCGCGUCGCAUUAGCUAGUUGGUGAGGUAACGGCUCACCAAGGCAACGAUGCGUAGCCGACCUGAGAGGGUGAUCGGCCACACUGGGACUGAGACACGGCCCAGACUCCUACGGGAGGCAGCAGUAGGGAAUCUUCCGCAAUGGACGAAAGUCUGACGGAGCAACGCCGCGUGAGUGAUGAAGGCUUUCGGGUCGUAAAACUCUGUUGUUAGGGAAGAACAAGUGCUAGUUGAAUAAGCUGGCACCUUGACGGUACCUAACCAGAAAGCCACGGCUAACUACGUGCCAGCA